AGACGGCCAUAUCACGUUGAAACACCGAAUCCAUUAGAUCACUGAAGUUAAGGCAUGUCGAGCAUGGUCAGUACCUAGAUGGGUGACCGCUUGCGAAUGACAGGUGCUGUGA
Acanthosepion pharaonis is the source of this 112-nucleotide non-coding RNA. The record is from the annotation of a GenBank genome assembly. Lineage: Eukaryota; Metazoa; Mollusca; Cephalopoda; Sepiida; Sepiidae.